RNAcentral lists this ribosomal RNA (120 nucleotides) under Secale cereale subsp. vavilovii. Lineage: Eukaryota; Viridiplantae; Streptophyta; Magnoliopsida; Poales; Poaceae. The record is from RNAcentral.
GGAUGCGAUCAUACCAGCAUCUAAAGCACCGUAUCCCAUCAGAACUCCGAAGUUAAGCGUGCUUGGCGAGAGUAGUACUAGGAUGGGUGACCUCCUGGGAAGUCCUCGUGUUGCAUUCCC